CUCCUUUUCCAUGAACAAAUUGAAAUGAUUAUUAUUAAUCCUUUUAUUUGGAAGAAUUUUAAGAAAAGGAGAGAGUGUAUAGGGGAUCCAAUUCCCUUCCUUUCCCUCAAUAUCUCUUCUCCAAAUCAAGGGUAAACAUUCCUUUUUCCCCUUUUUUAGGGUUUGCUGUGGAGUUGGUGAUAAUUGAGGUCCCAGCUGCUUUGGGAGUGUGAUUUUGUGCAUUUAUCUGAAUGGCAUCGGCUCAGGUGUUGCCGAAUUUGGCGGCUUCGACGAGGAAGCAAGAGCAUUUGGAAGAUGGAAAGAAACGGUUGGAACUCCAAUCUGGGUUGGCUGGUGACGCAGAAGAAGAAGGCCAGUCUAUAGGGGACAUUGAGCAUCGUUGGAGGUCAAGCUGUUGAACAAAAAUGAGCUUUGGUUUCUUGUCGCAGCAUGUGUAGUGAAGAAGACAAAAAGGUGCUGAUACAGACAGGCAGAAGCUUGGAGGAGGAAACAAGAACAACUGGAACAAGCACACCUUGUAGAUUGGGCUCGGAUUGCUGAAGAUGGGAAAUGAACUUGAAGAUGGGAAAUGAGCUUGAACAAGUGUCGGUGUGAUGUUCAAAGUACAUAUUGUCGAUUAUUCUGAGCCCAAUGUACAAUUAGUGUGUUGCUAUUCUGAAUAUUUGAGUAAGAAAAUGAAUAUUUAUAUGAUGAUAGUGACAUUUUUACAACUAUGAGCUAAUUUGGUGAGUGCUUUUCAUCCUAAUGUCUGAUUAUCUGUGAGUCCUAUCAUUUUGUAUAAAAAUUUCUGUAUACAAUUUGAUUUUUUUAUACCAUUAGC
Long non-coding RNA from Diospyros lotus (date-plum), 820 nucleotides. RefSeq lists it as uncharacterized. The transcript has 3 exons. NCBI's taxonomy places the organism in Eukaryota, Viridiplantae, Streptophyta, Magnoliopsida, Ericales, Ebenaceae. The record is from RefSeq and is a predicted model, not a curated record.